CCUACGGGUGGCAGCAGUCGAGAAUCAUUCACAAUGGGGGAAACCCUGAUGGUGCGACGCCGCGUGGGGGAAUGAAGGUCUUCGGAUUGUAAACCCCUGUCAUGUGGGAGCAAAUUAAAAAGAUAGUACCACAAGAGGAAGAGACGGCUAACUCUGUGCCAGCAGCCGCGGUAAUACAGAGGUCUCAAGCGUUGUUCGGAAUCACUGGGCGUAAAGCGUGCGUAGGCUGUUUCGUAAGUCGUGUGUGAAAGGCGCGGGCUCAACCCGCGGACGGCACAUGAUACUGCGAGACUAGAGUAAGGGAGGGGGAACCGGAAUUCUCGGUGUAGCAGUGAAAUGCGUAGAUAUCGGGAGGAACACUCGUGGCGAAGGCGGGUUCCUGGACAUUAACUGACGCUGAGGCACGAAGGCCAGGGGAGCGAAAGGGAUUAGAUACCCGGGUAGUC
This 446-nucleotide ribosomal RNA is filed under the name uncultured bacterium. RNAcentral's name for it is "partial 16S ribosomal RNA". It matches the Rfam family "Bacterial small subunit ribosomal RNA", at positions 338 to 795 of the family's 1533-position model. The record is from RNAcentral.